RNAcentral lists this unclassified non-coding RNA (322 nucleotides) under Hevea brasiliensis (rubber tree). The record is from RNAcentral. Lineage: Eukaryota; Viridiplantae; Streptophyta; Magnoliopsida; Malpighiales; Euphorbiaceae.
GGCAAAGAGUAGCUGCUGUUAUCGGGGUUGCAAAGGGAAUCCAGUUCCUGCAUACAGUUACUGUGCCCGGCAUUGUGGGAAAUGAUCUCAGUAUAGAAAAUAUCUUGCUAGAUGAAACUCUGACAGCAAAAAUCAGCAACUAUAAUCUUCCAGUUUUGCCAAAGAAUAAGAAUAACAGGAUUGACUCUGAAAGCCCUUUUAGUCUGGUUGAAGACACAAAUAUUGGCAGUAGUCUUAAUUUGGAGCAGGGUGAGAAAAAAGAUAUUUAUCAACUGGGACUGAUUCUCUUAGAAAUUAUCACCGGUAAACCUACUGAUUCCCA